Long non-coding RNA from Prionailurus viverrinus (fishing cat), 971 nucleotides. RefSeq lists it as uncharacterized. The record is from RefSeq and is a predicted model, not a curated record. The transcript has 5 exons. Lineage: Eukaryota; Metazoa; Chordata; Mammalia; Carnivora; Felidae.
CUGACUAUCCUGAGACCACCAUGUAGAGCAACCAUGGCCGAUACUCUCGUCUACACUUCUAGCUGAGCCCAGCCUUCGGCUAACCCAGCCCAAGCAGCCCGCAAGGGAGUGAAGGAGCCACCCUGGAAGUGACUCCUCCAGCUCAACCGUCCCAAGCCUCCGCUGUUCAGAUCAAUACGGCUGGCAGGGAGAAGGACCGGCUGCCUCGCAGACGCCUCGCCCUCCCGUCUGCAGCGCCCAGAAGGUUUAUAUGAACACUCAGUGGGGGGAAAAAAACCGGGUGGGAACCAAAGGACUGAGGCAAGAGAAACUGAAAGAAGAUGAUCUGGGCAGGAAAAGCUUUCAAAGGAAACUCCAUUCAAUGAGGAUGCCACAGAAGCCACAAAGGAUGGCAUCUGAUGUGCUCUCGUACGACAUCAAACAUUAUAGAACCGUCCAGGCGAAGAGGUGGAGGCAAUUGGAUAUGCAAAGGUCCUGAGGUGCCAGUGACUAGGACUUGAACAUAUCAUUUUGGGAGAUGCAAUUCGACCUGUAACACGAGAUCCUGUGGAAAGACCCUACGGUUGGAAAAAUCCAUGGCAUGGACUAGGAAUUAUCCCCACUGGCUAGACAGAAUCUUGGAGAAGAUGGUCACGUUCCCACUUGUGUGAAGGCUCUGGGGGUGGGUCAUCUCAAGUGUCCACUCAUAAUGAAGACCAGGGCCUAGAAGACUGGAACUGCGACCCAACACAGGUGCCAGCCCCCCCAAAUCAGCCUUUUCUCAGCGUGUCUUUUCUCAGCCCUUUAUCCCUGCAUGUCCCAGACACCUCACUCUCUACCUCUUGCCAACUCAGGAUUUCUGGCAUUCAGACUCUGCCUUCCACCAUAUCUGCCUCUUACUCACGUCAAAGGCCAAUUCUCUUCUCAUCCUUCUAUGGCCUUUGGUGGUCCGUGGAAAAGCCAAACGAUGCUCAAAAUAUGAGCCCAGACUG